RNAcentral lists this ribosomal RNA (253 nucleotides) under uncultured bacterium. Its description in RNAcentral is "partial 16S ribosomal RNA". It matches the Rfam family "Bacterial small subunit ribosomal RNA", at positions 524 to 776 of the family's 1533-position model. The record is from RNAcentral.
UACAGAGGUCCCAAGCGUUGUUCGGAUUCAUUGGGCGUAAAGGGUGCGUAGGCGGCGCGGUAAGUCGGGUGUGAAAUCUCGGAGCUUAACUCCGAAACUGCAUUCGAUACUGCCGUGCUUGAGGACUGGAGAGGAGACUGGAAUUUACGGUGUAGCGGUGAAAUGCGUAGAUAUCAGGAGGAACACCGGUGGCGAAGGCGGCAUUCUGGACCGAUAUUGACGCUGAGGAGCGAAAGCCAGGGGAGCAAACGGG